ACAUUAAAACCGUAUCCACAAAAAGAUCUUACAAUUUAACAUACAUAAAAAAUGUGAGUAGGCGAGAGAAUAUAACUUUGGUCUAUAAAUAGACAGAAUACCAUCAUCAGUAACUAUAGACUAAUCAUUUUUUGCUUUCCUAUGUUGUUUAUGUUGUUCCUUGACCCGGUAGACUCUUUAUUGUUUUACUGUUUGUUCCUUGACCCAUUUUUUCACCUGGUGCCAAACUCUUAUCAACUUCACUAUCAUCUCUUAAACACUUAACAUUAUAUAUCCAACUAUUUCCUUGACUUGUUUCUUCAUCAUCCUCCGUCCAAACAGCAUCAUCAUCAUUUAAACACUUAUCAUCAUCCAUAAAACUAACAUAAUCCGCAUACAUUGGUUGAACAACAACUAUCCAAUCCAUCCAAGU
Molecule: long non-coding RNA, 412 nt
Filed under: Brassica napus (rape)
Lineage: Eukaryota; Viridiplantae; Streptophyta; Magnoliopsida; Brassicales; Brassicaceae
Description: long non-coding RNA (BNAP_LNC011825)
Source: RNAcentral